AUUGAACGCUGGCGGCAUGCCUAACACAUGCAAGUCGAACGGAAGAAGGGAGCUUGGUCCUGGCGUCAGCGGCGGACGGGUGAGUAAUGUCUAUGAACCUCCCUGGAAGUGGGGGAUAACGUACGGAAAUGGGCGCUAAUCCCGCAUACGUCCUGAGCGGGAAGGUGGGGGAUCGUCGGCCCUGGCGCUUUCGGAUGAGCCUAGGUCGGAUUAGCUAGUUGGUGGGGUAAAGGCCUACCAAGGCGACGAUCGGUAACUGGCCUGAGAGGAUGAUCCGGCACACUGGAACUGAGACACGGUCCAGACUCCUACGGGAGGCAGCAGUGGGGAAUAUUGGACAAUGGGCGAAAGCCUGAUCCAGCCAUGCCGCGUGUGUGAAGAAGGGCUUCGGGUUGUAAAGCACUUUACGUGGGGAAGAACGGCAGUAGGAUAAUACCUGGUUUUUGUGACGGUACCAGCAGAAGAAGCACCGGCUAACUACGUG
Molecule: ribosomal RNA, 484 nt
Filed under: uncultured bacterium
Lineage: Bacteria
Description: partial 16S ribosomal RNA
Rfam family: Bacterial small subunit ribosomal RNA
Source: RNAcentral